This is a non-coding RNA of Acanthosepion pharaonis, 114 nucleotides long. Lineage: Eukaryota; Metazoa; Mollusca; Cephalopoda; Sepiida; Sepiidae. The record is from the annotation of a GenBank genome assembly.
UUACGGCCACAAGAGGUUGAAACACCGUCUUCCGUACGAUCACCGAAGUUAAGCAAAGUCGAAUCUGGUCAGUACUUAGAUGGGUAAUUGCUUGGGAAUACCAGAUACUGUAGG